This 424-nucleotide ribosomal RNA is filed under the name uncultured bacterium. RNAcentral's name for it is "partial 16S ribosomal RNA". It matches the Rfam family "Bacterial small subunit ribosomal RNA", at positions 360 to 776 of the family's 1533-position model. The record is from RNAcentral.
AAUAUUGCACAAUGGAGGAAACUCUGAUGCAGCGACGCCGCGUGUGUGAAGAAGGUCUUCGGAUUGUAAAGCAUUUUAAGUUGGGAGGAAGAGUUGUAGGCUAAUACCUUGCAAUUUUGACGUUACCAACAGAAUAAGCACCGGCUAACUUCGCGCCAGCAGCCGCGGUAAUACGAAGGGUGCAAGCGUUAAUCGGAAUUACUGGGCGUAAAGCGCGCGUAGGUGGUUCGUUAAGUUGGAAGUGAAAGCCCCGGGCUUAACCUGGGAAUUGCUUUCAAAACUGACGAGCUAGAGUACGGUAGAGGGUAGUGGAAUUUCCUGUGUAGCGGUGAAAUGCGUAGAUAUAGGAAGGAACAUCAGUGGCGAAGGCGACUACCUGGACUGAUACUGACACUGAGGUGCGAAAGCGUGGGGAGCAAACAGG